This 482-nucleotide ribosomal RNA is filed under the name uncultured bacterium. RNAcentral describes it as "partial 16S ribosomal RNA". It matches the Rfam family "Bacterial small subunit ribosomal RNA", at positions 30 to 523 of the family's 1533-position model. The record is from RNAcentral.
AGUGAACGUUGGCGGCGUGGGAUAGGCAUGCAAGUCGAGCGAGAACCGUAGCAAUACGGGGAAAGCGGCGAAAGGGACAGUAAUGUGUAGGUACCUACCCCGAGGUCUGGGCUAGCUGCGGGAAACUGCAGGUAAUACCGGAUAAUGCCUGCGGACCGAAGGUGUGAUUCCACCCUGGGACGGGGCUGCAUCCGAUUAGGUAGUUGGCGGGGUAAUGGCCGACCAAGGCGACGAUGUGUAGCGGGUGUGAGAGCACGACCCGCGUCAUUCGGACUGAGACACUGCCCAGACACCUACGGGUGGCUGCAGUCGAGGAUCUUCGGCAAUGGGCGAAAGCCUGACCGAGCGACGCCGCGUGCGGGAUGAAGGCAUUCGGGUUGUAAACCGCUGUCGUAGAGGAGGAAAUGCAGGUGGGUUCUCCCAUCUGUUUGACCUAUUCUAGGAGGAAGUACGGGCUAAGUUCGUGCCAGCCGCCGCCGUAA